RNAcentral lists this ribosomal RNA (237 nucleotides) under uncultured bacterium. RNAcentral's name for it is "partial 16S ribosomal RNA". It matches the Rfam family "Bacterial small subunit ribosomal RNA", at positions 100 to 334 of the family's 1533-position model. The record is from RNAcentral.
GGAACGGGUGAGUAACGCGUGAGGAACCUGCCUCAAAGAGGGGGACAACAGUUGGAAACGACUGCUAAUACCGCAUAAGCCCACGGCUCGGCAUCGAGCAGAGGGAAAAGGAGCAAUCCGCUUUGAGAUGGCCUCGCGUCCGAUUAGCUAGUUGGUGAGGUAACGGCCCACCAAGGCGACGAUCGGUAGCCGGACUGGGAGGUUGAACGGCCACAUUGGGACUGAGACACGGCCCAG